CAAACGCGAAAUGUGUUAUGACAUGCAAUCUUUGAGAAUCAUGAAAUCUUUGAACGCACCUUGUACCUGAGAGCAGUCUUUCAGGUGUGAAUGUUUGAGCAUGGCGACGGAAAUCACCAGGUGAUGGUGGAGCUGAGCACACAGGGCGGUGCUUGAAAGGCAGGCGUACGGGAGCGUGGCGCGUCUUGGGAUAAUUCCAGCUAGACGUGGCACGUGACCGGAUUAGGGUGUGGGUGUGGGUGUGGGUGUGCGAAGAGGGUUGGGCCGGUGCCGAUCUGCUGGCAACAGUGGUCGCGCAUUGCUCACUCUCAGUUGCACACCCACCCCACCCCCCUCACACACCCAUCUCAAAUCAUUCAGGAUCACCCGCUGAACUUAA
This 379-nucleotide unclassified non-coding RNA is filed under the name uncultured fungus. RNAcentral describes it as "sequence contains ITS1". The stretch from base 1 to 104 matches the Rfam family "5.8S ribosomal RNA", at positions 50 to 154 of the family's 154-position model. Lineage: Eukaryota; Fungi. The record is from RNAcentral.